GCCUGAUAAGUAUAUUGAUUAAGGGUAGAAAGAGCUUGGGAUAGAUCCAAUUGUCUAAAUAACUGUACUUCUUCAAGGAGCUUCUUUGAUUCACCAGACUGAAUUGUCUUUUGAUAAAUGUCUUCUUGGAGUUCUGAAUUUAAAACUUCCUGUGUGCUUUUUCAACAAUCAAGUCUUUUGAACUUGAUUAUUGGUGGCAUCUC
This 203-nucleotide long non-coding RNA is filed under the name Elaeis guineensis (African oil palm). RNAcentral's name for it is "long non-coding RNA (EGUI_LNC057813)". The record is from RNAcentral. Lineage: Eukaryota; Viridiplantae; Streptophyta; Magnoliopsida; Arecales; Arecaceae.